Molecule: long non-coding RNA, 5066 nt
Filed under: Sus scrofa (pig)
Lineage: Eukaryota; Metazoa; Chordata; Mammalia; Artiodactyla; Suidae
Description: lncRNA (ENSSSCG00005011194.1)
Source: RNAcentral
CCACGAGGACUCAGGUUUGAUCCCUGGCCCUGCUCAGUGGGUUGAGGAUCCGGCGUUGCCGUGAGCUGUGGUGUAGGUCGCAGGCGUGGCUCAAAUCGCGUGGCUGUGGCCUAGGCCAGCACCUGCAGCUCCAAUUGGACUCCUAGCUUGGGAACUUACAUAUGGUGUAGGUAUGGCCCGGAAAAGGGGGGAAAAAAAAAACAAUUUUUUUUUGAUAUUUUUGAUGGACCUCUCAGACGUCAAAUUCUAAUUGAAGCUCUUUUGACUUUGGGCUCCCCCUGGAGGGCCUCACAGGCCCUGGAGCUUCCCAGAGAGACCCUCAACGCACAGGCUCAGUGGUGUGUGAAGCUUGGAGGGGACGCCGCGCAGCCUGGCCGUGCUGGGUCAGAUGGGCCUUCAGGCUGGCCCAGCUCCACUGUGGCUCCAGCCCGGGGGAGGGUUCGGUCUUGUGUCCGGUCUCACCUAACGCGACGUCUAGAAGCCCCUGUGGGACCCAGCCCUGGGCCCUCUGGUCCCGACCCCAGGGCGUUUGGCGUUGCGCCCACCCCCCGUUUCUCCAAGGGACCCUCUUUACAGUCGGGGCCUCUUUACUCGAGGCCUCGGCUGCCCACACACUGUCGCAGGCCGCCUGGUGGGCUGGCCCCUUCCCAGUGGCCCAUGUUCUGGGCGUUCGAGAUGCUCGGUCUCAGGAAUACACCCCAGCAUCAUGGGGACCCACGCUUUGUAAACAACAGGUCCCCCUCAAGGAGAGUCUUGGCAACACUGGCACAAACGUCCCCUGCCGUGAGGCCCUGGCACGAGGGACUGGGUGGACCAAGGUGUGGCUGGAUGAUGGGAGCGUGGGGGAUGCUUGAAACCCCAUCAGGUGAGGGGAGUCAGGGACACUCCGGCCCCCUCCCGACUAGGCCGCCUGGGAAAUGGCUCGGCUCGCUGGACUUCAUCCUGGGGGGCGCCGGGUUGCAGGUUACGCGACGGGAAAAUCCUCCCAAGCCGGAGAGACUCCUGGACUGCAGCCUUGAAAGCUGGGAAAGCUGCUAAGGAGACAGCCUGGAAAAGGGCAGACUCAGCCUCAGACUCGACUGGCACGCUGCCUGCUGCCUGGCCUUCGUGAAGCUGGAGAACGGAGGGAAGUGGGUCUGAAUGCAGUACCAUCGUGCAAUUGGAUCUGUACCGCCGGCUUCCCUGUGCAGCUCCUGUAGUCACAGGCCCGGGGAGGAGGUUCCGUCACGGCUCAGUGGUAACAAACUCCACUAGGAUCCACGAGGACGCAGGUUCGAUCCCUGGCCCCACUCAGUGGGUUAAGGAUCUGGUGUUGCUGUGGGCUGCGGUGUAUGUCACAGAUGCGGCUCGGAUCCUGUGUGGCUGUGGUUAUGGUGUAGGCCGGCAGCUGUAGCUCCAGUUCAGCCCCUAGCCCGGGAACCUCCUUGUGCCGUGGGUGCGGCCCUAAAAACAAACAAACCGAAAGCCCUGGGGGAGUUCCCGUCAUGGCUCAGCCGUUAAGGAAUCUGGCUGGCAUCCACGUAGGUCGCAGACGCGGCUCGCAUCUGGCGUUGCUGUGGCUGUGGUGUAGGCCGGUAGCUACAGCUCCGAUUGGACCCCAAGCCUGGGAACCUCCGUGUGUCUGUCUCCACGGAGGAGCCCCGGCUGGUCCUCGGCAUCACAGGUGAGACAGUCGACACAGGAGCCACUCUUCUCUGUCCUGUGUCUCGCACUGGGCCUCUCUCCUCCAAAAGCUGGACAGUGGCCGGUGUCGAAGGGACACCUGGCGCCUGUCACUUCACCGGCCCCUUGCUUGCCAGCUCUUCAGCUGUGCCUGAGCAUCCACCCCACUACCGGGAGACACCUGGGCCCCUGGGGACCAUGUUACAGUUAAGAGGCGCUGAGCAGCCCCUUAUCUUGUCUCGGCCCGGCUGGAAGAACGGGGGCCACGACGAGCAGUGAACACACACAGGAGCAGGAGUCCCGGGAAGACUGCAAAUGCCCAACCUGUAAAAAUGAGCCUCUGGGCCCAAAGCCAGUCAUCCCACCUUAAGCUGGAGGCGAAACGGGAAAAGGUUUGCAGCCCUUUAGAUAAAUUCUUUAGACACGGCCUGUUGGUGCCCUGCCCGGCUCCGUGCAGUGCUCCUGUGCGGCCAGGUGUUACGCCAAUGGGGACAUCGGAGGGUGCGGGACCUCAGAGCAGUAGCUGAAGCCGGUCCCCACACAUCCUCUGUGGCCAGCCCUGCGUGGACCCGUCCAGGUUCCCGGAGACGCCUGGUGGUUUACUUGUGCAUCAGCCCAUCCCUCAACACAAGGCUCUUUGCCUCCCAGUGGACCAGCCCCAGGCCAAAUGCAGUGGUGACCCAGACGGCAGCGCCCGGGGACCUCAGGACGGCCCGCGCUGUCCGCCCAGGCCCUCGGAAAAGCAGCAAGGGCAAUACACCUGCAAGGAGGGACUGCUCUGCAGUGCGCGGUGACACGUUAACACGCAGCCCCACGACAGAGGCCUCGGGUCAGAGCACCCUUGACGUCCUUAGCUUCCUUGGGGUCCAGGGCUAAGGGUUUCCCAGAAAAAGGCACACAUUUCGAAGCAAAAAGUUAAAUACCUGGGGUUUACCAUAAACGCUGGAAGCAGACCGUUACCCCAGACAGAAAACAGGCUACACUGGGGCUAAGUGUCGUGAAGACCAAGAGCCCUCUCGCUACCUUCUUGGUCGUGGCGGGAUGUUGCAGAAUCUGGAUUCCAGGAUCCAGGCUAAGCCCCCGUGUGCAGUCACCGGAGGCCCAGACACAAAACCAUUGCUUUGGCCUGAAGAACACGCAGGCUCCCAGUCUUAUCAAACAGGCCCUCAUGGAACUCUGGCUCUGAGGCUCCCCCUCCCCCCGAAAAAGCCGUUCAUCCCUCAUGUGGCUGAAAAGCUGGGCCAGGCCUGGGGGUCCUUGUACAAAAGCUGGGGGAAGCUCUCCAGCCUGAUUCCCGGCUGGACGUCGGCCUGGCUGCCUCCGGGCGGAAGCUGCCACUGCUUUAUUCGUAGAAGAAACGAAGACGCUGGAGGGCCAGGCCCCACAGCAGGCACAAGGGAUUCUGGAGAUGAAAGGCCACCCCUGGCCAACAGGAGGCCCCUUACCAGCACCAGGCUCUACUCCUUGGCUGCCCAGAGGGACCCCUCAGAACUUGCUGCGGCCCCGCUGCACCGAUGCCGAAAGCCCUGGAUUCCUGCCCCGACCAGCAUUGUGCCUGCGGGGCUGACCUGACGACCAGGCCGUGGGAACCCUGAGCGGGAAUGGUCUGCAGGCGGCUGCAGCUUCCCUGAAGACCGAGUCCGGGCAGGGGCCAAGUGGGAGCGCUCUCGAUGUCACCGAAGCAAAACCUUCGCCGCCCAGACCCAGCCGCUGACCUCCGCUCAGGGGAGGAAAAAUGACGCGUGGAUACACAGACACAAGAGAUGCCUGCCGUGCUCUUCGUGCCAGGCAGCUUCCUGGAAGGUCAGAGGGCUUCAAACGCAAGGCCUUCCCCGUGAAACACCGCCCGGGGCUCUACAUCUCGCAGCAGAAGCGGCUCAAAGGCCAAAACAAGCAGCAGUUAUUCGCGGCUGCAGGGAGCAAAGGGGACCCUCCCCAAGUGCCCAAGGGAACCACAGGGCGGAUCCAGAAGCGGGGAGAGCAGCCCUGAUGCCCACGGCAGAAAUGGCUUUGAUUCCAGCCCCUACCCCUCCCAUGUGCUACUCAGGGAGACUCAGCUGCUUUUUUUGUUUUUCCUUUUUGGGCCACCCCAUGGCCUAUGGAGUUCCUAGGCCAGGGAUCAGAUUCCAGCUGUGGUUACCACGUAAGCUGCAGCUGUGGCAACACCAGAUUUUUAACCCGCUGGGCCGGGCCAGGGAUCGAACCUGUGUCCCAGCGCUCCCAAGGCGCCACCGGUCCCAUUGCACCACAGCAGGAACUCCAGGCUUCAGCUUCUGAAGAGACCUGGCUCGAGACAGAGGGGGAGGUGAGGGCACAGGCGGCUGGUGGCCCCUGGAGCAGAGCGGCGCCCCCCCCCCCCCGCCCCCCGCUGGCCAGUGGGGGAUGGAAGGGCUGCCUGAGUCUCCAUCCGGGCAGAGGCUGCGUCUACAACGGUCUUCCGGCUUUUCACAGGGAAGGGGCUUCCGGACACAGUCAGGUGCGUCACCUGAGCCCGUGCCCUCUGCGCCCCCGUCUAGGGACAGCCUCAGCCCCCAUUUUGUUUGCCCAGUGCAUCCACAUGGGGCUUGGCCAGGGGAGGCCCGGCAGGAAGAUUUCAACCAGGCGCCCUCUUCCCAGGGCUUCAAAUACGUGCUGGUCUUUGUUGAUACUCUUACCGGGCGGGUAGAGGCCUUCCCCACAGGCCAGGAAGGGCAGCGGAGGGGCUAAGGCGCUUCUGAGGGAGCUCGCCCCUAGGUUGGGGUUACCCCGUCACCUCCAGAGUGACAGUGGAGGCUUGCUCACCGCAAAGGUCACCCAGCAGCUCCCGUGGGCCCUAGAAAUUAGCAUACCACCUCUAAUCAUCUGGGUACCUCGGUCCAGGAAAAGCGGGACAGGCUGGUCACAGCCUGAAGAAACGCUGGGGCUUCCGGUCGUGGCUCAGUGGGUCACAAACCCGACCAGCAUCUGUAAGGAUCCCUGGCCUCACUCAGUGGGUUGAGGAUCUGGCGUUGCCGUGAGCUGAGGGGUAGGUGGCAGCCUUGGCUCGGAUCCUGCGUUGCCGUGGCUGUGGUGUAGGCCGGCAGCUGCAGCUCCAAUUCGACCCCUAACCUGGGAGCCUCCAUGUGCUGCAGGUGUGGCCCUAAAAAGCUAAAAGAAGGGACUGCCCUUCAUGGCUCAGUGGAAACGAAUCUGACUAGUAUCUACGAGGAUGCAGGUUCAAUCCCUGGCCUCGCUCAGUGGGUUAAAGAUCUGAUAUUGCCGGGAGCUGUGGGUUAGGUCGCAGACACGGCUUGGAUGUUGCUGUGGCUGUGGUAUAGGCCGGCAGCUACAGCUCCAAUUUGACCCCUAGCCUGGGAACCCCCAUAUGCCACCAGUGCGGCCUAAAAAGACAAAAUACAGAAAAAAAAAAAAAAAAAAAAAAAAAA